Phrynosoma platyrhinos (Desert horned lizard) is the source of this 71-nucleotide non-coding RNA. Lineage: Eukaryota; Metazoa; Chordata; Lepidosauria; Squamata; Phrynosomatidae. The record is from the annotation of a GenBank genome assembly.
GCCAGUAUGAUAUAGUGGUUUGUGUGUUGGACUAGAACUCUGGAGACCAGAGUUCAAAUCCCAUCUUGGCC